Molecule: ribosomal RNA, 285 nt
Filed under: uncultured bacterium
Lineage: Bacteria
Description: partial 16S ribosomal RNA
Rfam family: Bacterial small subunit ribosomal RNA
Source: RNAcentral
AAAAGCUUGCUUUCUUUUGCUGGCGACCGGCGCACGGGUGAGUAACACGUAUCCAACCUGCCCUUUACUCGGGGAUAGCCUUUCGAAAGAAAGAUUAAUACCCGAUAGCAUAAUGAUUCCGCAUGGUUUCAUUAUUAAAGGAUUCCGGUAAAGGAUGGGGAUGCGUUCCAUUAGGUUGUUGGCGGGGUAACGGCCCACCAAGCCUUCGAUGGAUAGGGGUUCUGAGAGGAAGGUCCCCCACAUUGGAACUGAGACACGGUCCAAACUCCUACGGGAGGCAGCAUG